AAUGUUUAUAAGAACGGAGAUAGAUAAUCUAGAUUUAAGAUUGUAUGUGAUAGU
Molecule: non-coding RNA, 54 nt
Filed under: Trypanosoma lewisi
Lineage: Eukaryota; Euglenozoa; Kinetoplastea; Trypanosomatida; Trypanosomatidae
Source: RNAcentral